RNAcentral lists this ribosomal RNA (376 nucleotides) under uncultured Gammaproteobacteria bacterium. Its description in RNAcentral is "bacterial SSU rRNA". It matches the Rfam family "Bacterial small subunit ribosomal RNA", at positions 521 to 896 of the family's 1533-position model. The record is from RNAcentral. Lineage: Bacteria; Pseudomonadati; Pseudomonadota; Gammaproteobacteria.
UAAUACGGGGGGUGCAAGCGUUAAUCGGAAUUACUGGGCGUAAAGCGCUCGUAGGCGGUUUGAUAAGUCGGAUGUGAAAGCCCUGGGCUUAACCUGGGAACUGCGUUUGAAACUGUCAGGCUAGAGUAUGGUAGAGGGAAGUGGAAUUCCGGGUGUAGCGGUGAAAUGCGUAGAUAUCCGGAGGAACACCAGUGGCGAAGGCGACUUCCUGGACCGAUACUGACACUGAGGCACGAAAGCGUGGGUAGCAAACAGGAUUAGAUACCCUGGUAGUCCACGCUGUAAACGAUGUCAACUAGCCGUUGGGAACAUCUAGUUCUUAGUGGCGCAGCUAACGCGCUAAGUUGACCGCCUGGGGAGUACGGCCGCAAGGUUA